This 289-nucleotide ribosomal RNA is filed under the name Acaulospora sp. RNAcentral describes it as "partial large subunit ribosomal RNA". The record is from RNAcentral. Lineage: Eukaryota; Fungi; Glomeromycota; Glomeromycetes; Diversisporales; Acaulosporaceae.
UUUAUGAUCACUCCAACAUCUAGACGAUCGAAUCUCAUCAACGUUAGCAUGCUAUCGAAGACGAGGUAACCAUCAGAAGCCAGGUGACUAGCCCGAAAGGGUAUCCGCUGCAAACCUCAAUCCCGGUCACUACAUUUAUCAAGGUCUAUAACACUUUUCCGAAGAAAAGUCACCUUCCCUCAAUAUUUAUAUAUAACCAAAAUUGAUGCUAACCUGUAAGUAAGGAAGUGCACCAGAAAGGACACGAGAAACUCGCACCCAAAAGGCUGAUUACCCGCCGGUACGACUG